GGUGUGUUUUCUCCUCAGUUCCUGUCACAGAUGCUGUGCUGAUAUCCCGCACCAACGGGACUGAGAUACAGCCCGGGGACCGCCUUGUUCUCCGGUGCCUGGUGAGGGAAGGCACUGAGCCCCAGUUCAUUUGGUACCGUGACAACUUGCCGCUAAGAAACGGCAGUGCGAGCUCCCAUGUGACUGCCGAUGGUGGUGAGCUGGAUAUUCAUUCAUUCCGGAGAGACAAUGUCGGGAGAUAUCACUGUGCAGCGAUCAACAAAGGAACCAACGGCACCAUUUUUCACGUGACCAGCGACUAUAUCGAAUUCACGCUGCGAGCUCGGAGUUAUUCCACGGAGAUCGCGGCCUCGCUCGUCCCAGUUCUGCUGUUCGCCGGCCUGAUCGCGUUGGCGUGGUUCAUCCACCGGAGGAGGGACACAGGCAAUUCCUCAACUGUGUCACAGCCCAAGAAGUAAGGGGAUGAAACUGCAAAUUUUAUAUUUGCCAUUGUUUACCCUGAUUCCUCUUAAUCAGGGAGUGACAACGAGGAGAAGAAUUGAGAGAGGAAGCUUGGGUAUUGCCAUAUCCUUCUAACACGAGUCUAACAAACCAGGAAACCAUACUCCUGGAAAGUCCCAGGUGGCUUUUAUUCAUUCACAGGGAUGUUGGUGUCACUGGCAGGGCCAGCAUUUAUUGCCCAUCCCUAAUUGCCCCAGCGGGCAGUUUUGUUAACCAGCUUCUGGAGUCACAAAUGGGCCAGACCAGGUAAGGAUGGCAGAUUUCCUUCACCAAAGGACAUAAGUGAAAAGCAGAUGGGGAUUUGGGCAGCUCCUUGAGGGUGAGAAAGCUCCAUGUUCGGAUGGAAACCAGCGACAUGGGACCAAGUAAUAACAGGGUCUCACUGGGCAUUGUAUUUUCUGUGAUAGCUUUGCUGUUUUGUUGAAGCCGAGCAUGGUGUUGAAAGCAUUGUGUUCGAAAUGACAACUUCCUUCCCUUCCCCUUUCUACUGGAAAUAGAUGCCAAGCUUCUGGUGAAGGGGCAGCAGCCGGCAAUCUGGAGUAUGCAGUAAUUGGAGCAGCACA
Long non-coding RNA from Rhincodon typus (whale shark), 1064 nucleotides. RefSeq lists it as uncharacterized. The transcript is spliced from 3 exons. The record is from RefSeq and is a predicted model, not a curated record. NCBI's taxonomy places the organism in Eukaryota, Metazoa, Chordata, Chondrichthyes, Orectolobiformes, Rhincodontidae.